UCUGGGUCCCCGACAUGUGCUAUAUUUCUCCUGUUACACAAAGUCGAAACCUACACGCCCAUCCUGGAACUUCGACAGCCAUUUCAAAGCACUAUCUCGUACAUGAAACCGGCUAGAUUUAUUCUCUCGAUGUACUGGAAAGUCACUGGACACCCCUCCUGUCGAGAAAUGGACCACCCCAUGUCACGAUGUAACGUACUAGCUACCAUCCCUGCGGAAACGUGGACCAACCUCUGAUUCACAUCCGUGUUGUAGCACUGCCGCGGACUGCUGUGUGUUCCAGACUUUUUAAAUGCUGCCUAAGAAAUAAAACAAAUGUAUAUUAGAAAC
This is a long non-coding RNA of Haliotis rubra (blacklip abalone), 330 nucleotides long. RefSeq lists it as uncharacterized. Lineage: Eukaryota; Metazoa; Mollusca; Gastropoda; Lepetellida; Haliotidae. The transcript is spliced from 2 exons. The record is from RefSeq and is a predicted model, not a curated record.